Non-coding RNA from Mycena olivaceomarginata, 77 nucleotides. The record is from the annotation of a GenBank genome assembly. NCBI's taxonomy places the organism in Eukaryota, Fungi, Basidiomycota, Agaricomycetes, Agaricales, Mycenaceae.
AGCAGAAUAGCUCAGUUGGAAAGAGCACUAGUUGCGCAAUCACUUAGAGGUCCUCGGUUUGAUUCCAGGUUCUGCCA